UGAGUUUGAUUAUGGCUCAGAUUGAACGCUGGCGGCAGGCCUAACACAUGCAAGUCGAGCGGUAACAGGACUAGCUUGCUAGUUGCUGACGAGCGGCGGACGGGUGCGUAACACGUAGGAAUCUGCCCGGUAGUGGGGGAUAGCCCGGAGAAAUCCGGAUUAAUACCGCAUACGCCUUACGAGGGAAAGGAGGGGACUCUUCGGAGCCUUUCGCUAUCGGAUGAGCCUGCGUCGGAUUAGCUAGUUGGUGGGGUAAAGGCCUACCAAGGCGACGAUCCGUAGCUGGUCUGAGAGGAUGAUCAGCCACACUGGGACUGAGACACGGCCCAGACUCCUACGGGAGGCAGCAGUGGGGAAUAUUGCACAAUGGGGGAAACCCUGAUGCAGCCAUGCCGCGUGUGUGAAGAAGGCUCUAGGGUUGUAAAGCACUUUCAGCGAGGAGGAAAGGUUGCUGGUUAAUACCCAGCGGCUGUGACGUUACUCGCAGAAGAAGCACCGGCUAACUCCGUGCCAGCAGCCGCGGUAAUACGGAGGGUGCGAGCGUUAAUCGGAAUUACUGGGCGUAAAGCGUGCGUAGGCG
This 580-nucleotide ribosomal RNA is filed under the name uncultured Gammaproteobacteria bacterium. RNAcentral describes it as "bacterial SSU rRNA". It matches the Rfam family "Bacterial small subunit ribosomal RNA", at positions 1 to 577 of the family's 1533-position model. Lineage: Bacteria; Pseudomonadati; Pseudomonadota; Gammaproteobacteria. The record is from RNAcentral.